RNAcentral lists this ribosomal RNA (497 nucleotides) under uncultured bacterium. Its description in RNAcentral is "partial 16S ribosomal RNA". It matches the Rfam family "Bacterial small subunit ribosomal RNA", at positions 28 to 507 of the family's 1533-position model. The record is from RNAcentral.
GAUGAACGCUGGCGGCGUGCCUAAUACAUGCAAGUCGAGCGAACAGACGAGGAGCUUGCUCCUCUGACGUUAGCGGCGGACGGGUGAGUCACACGUGGAUACCCUCCCUAUAAGACUGGGAUAACUUCGGGAAACCGGAGCUAAUACCGGAUAAUAUCUUGCACCGCAUGGUUCAAUAGUGAAAGACGGUUUUGCUGUCACUUCUCGAUGGAUCCGCGCCGCAUUAGCUAGUUGGUAAGGUAACGGCGUACCAAGGCAACGAUGCGUAGCCGACCUGAGAGGGUGAUCGGCCACACUGGAAGUGAGACACGGUCCAGACGCCUACGGGAGGCAGCAGGAGGGAAUCUUACGCAAUGGGCGAAAGCUUGACGGAGCAACGCCGCGUGAGUGAUGAAGGUCUUCGGAGCGUAAAACUCUGUUAUUAGGGAAGAACAAAUGUGUAAGUAACUAUGCACGCCUUGACGGUACCUAGUCAGAAAGCCACGGCUAACUACGUG